This 440-nucleotide ribosomal RNA is filed under the name uncultured bacterium. RNAcentral describes it as "partial 16S ribosomal RNA". It matches the Rfam family "Bacterial small subunit ribosomal RNA", at positions 338 to 795 of the family's 1533-position model. The record is from RNAcentral.
CCUACGGGGGGCUGCAGUGGGGAAUAUUGCACAAUGGGGGAAACCCUGAUGCAGCGACGCCGCGUGAGUGAAGAAGGAAUUCGUUAUGUAAAGCGCUAUCAGCAGGGAAGAAAAUGACGGUACCUGAGUAAGAAGCCCCGGCUAACUACGUGCCAGCAGCCGCGGUAAUACGUAGGGGGCGAGCGUUAUCCGGAUUUACUGGGUGUAAAGGGAGCGUAGGCGGCAGUGCAAGGCUGGAGUGUAAGGCGGGGGCUCAACCCCCGGGCUGCUCUGGAGACUGGACGGCUGGAGUGCGGGAGAGGUAAGUGGAAUUCCGAGUGUAGCGGUGAAAUGCGUAGAUAUUAGGAGGAACACCAGUGGCGAAGGCGGCUUACUGGACUGUAACUGACGUUGAGGCUCGAAAGCGUGGGGAGCAAACAGGAUUAGAUACCCUGGUAGUC